UACGAAGGGUGCAAGCGUUGCUCGGAAUUAUUGGGCGUAAAGGGUUGGUAGGUGGUCUUGUUUGUCUAAGGUGAAAUCCCAUGGCUUAACUGUGGAAGUGCCUUAGAAACGGCAAGACUAGAGUCCUAGAGGGGUUUGUGGAAUUCCCGGUGUAGCGGUGAAAUGCGUAGAGAUCGGGAGGAACACCUGUGGCGAAGGCGGCCGACUGGGCCGACCCUGACGCUGAGGCGCGAAGGCGUGGGGAGCGAACGGG
Molecule: ribosomal RNA, 253 nt
Filed under: uncultured bacterium
Lineage: Bacteria
Description: partial 16S ribosomal RNA
Rfam family: Bacterial small subunit ribosomal RNA
Source: RNAcentral